GGCAAAUAGCGGGAACGCUCCCCCUAGUUUAUUUCCAAAUGCUUGAAAUCUCGCGCGUUUCUUCCUCCUCUCCAUUUCUCCGAUCAACUAUGGCUUCAACAUCUUCUGGUAUCUACAUUGUCAAUAUCAUUAUCUUCACAACUAUGUUCAUCCAUUUUGUUGUGUUUACGAAUGUUAUCUUCAGCAACUGCCAUGUAAUGGAUCGAAUUCAGUUCACUAAUUUAGAUUUCGACGUACCACAGCCUUUUCAUCCUUAAACCUUGAUUCUCCUUAUAUUGAAAGGGAACAGACUGAAACGAUACGAGUGGUUUUUGAUUGUGGAAGCGUGUGUCAUCAACCUUAUAUUCGGCAGUGCCUACAUCCACUGUCAAAGGAGCGACACCAAGAUUCUUUAUCGACGACCAGUCUGACGAAUUUUACAAGCUACAAUAUGGAAAAAGAUAUAGAAAAAUGUUGUUCUAUGUUACGUUAUUAGCUCCCUAAACUGUUAUUUCCAGCAAUGCAUUCAGGAUUUAGUUACCGGAGAAUGUUAAGUAUUCGGGAUAUAAAGUCGGUGUCUUCGGCGCCAAACAUUUUUUCAGUCAAUAUGAUUCGAAGAGGUGCAUUUAUCAAAAACCAGAUCUAACCAGUUUGGUGUUGCAGCGUUGUGACCAUUAUUUGUGCUUGACGUGUCAGUUUGCAGUUAGAGGAAGAGCUAGGAAGGACAAUUUAGGGGUUUACUAAAAUCGUUCAAGAAUGGUUUCUAAAAGAUCUCAUCAGUCACUCAACAAAGCUUUCUCAAAACUCUUCCUUCCAUGGAGACUAAACAGACAUAUUUCCAUCACCCGUAAACGCCCGUGAUUCCUGCCAAUUGAAGAAAAGUUGCUGUUUUAUAAAUAGCAGCGGCGCUGUGGCGCUACAAACGGAAAUUUUAACCCGUGUCUUUUUCGGAAUUCCAUGGCGCUCCUUGCUAGGUAUUUCUGGGUCUCUAAAACAAUUUGUGUUAGUUUGGCUCCACUUACUCAACAUUUGAAUGGUGUUUAGUACUCUGCUUGACGGUAACUUGAAGCCAAAUCAACAAUUGACUUGGCUUUCAAUAGCUACAAUUUUUUCUUCCACUUGAAUGUUUAUGGGUUUUAGUUUUGAAAUUUACUAUUGUAGUGGAAUGGAGCAUUUGUUUCCAAGUCAAUAUUCUAUUUUACAGGAGUAUUUGUGUUUAACUCAGUGCUUCCGUUCAAAUAACGUGUCCGCAACUACAAACCAUGUAGGUUUUGUUUCUAUCCAUGACUUUAUGUUGAGUGGAUACUUUGAUUGUUGUUUUGACGUUCUUCAAUAUGCUUGCUGAUAUUUGUUCCA
Molecule: long non-coding RNA, 1335 nt
Organism: Cucumis sativus (cucumber)
Lineage: Eukaryota; Viridiplantae; Streptophyta; Magnoliopsida; Cucurbitales; Cucurbitaceae
Exons: 6
Source: RefSeq, a predicted model, not a curated record